Molecule: ribosomal RNA, 208 nt
Filed under: uncultured bacterium
Lineage: Bacteria
Description: partial 16S ribosomal RNA
Rfam family: Bacterial small subunit ribosomal RNA
Source: RNAcentral
UACGUAGGGAGCAAGCGUUGUCCGGAAUUAUUGGGCGUAAAGAGCUCGUAGGCGGUUUGUCGCGUCUGCUGUGAAAACCUAAGGCUCAACCUUGGGCUUGCAGUGGGUACGGGCAGACUAGAGUGCGGUAGGGGAGACUGGAAUUCCGUGGUGAUAGCGGUGGAAUGCGCAGAUAUCAGGAGGAACACCGAUGGCGAAGGCAGGUCUC